GAUGCUGCCGUGUCACAACGGCUCGUCUGAAAUGCCUGAGUGUACCCCUGCUUUGCGGCGUAUUCGGUGUGAUAAAUCUUCACCGGAGUUGGUCUUCGGGCCGCGUUUGCUUGACAUGGCUCUAUGCUUCCAACCGUCUUGUAAUGGACAAUCUCUGACAAUUUGACCUCAAAUCGGGUGGGACUACCCGCUGAACUUAA
Molecule: unclassified non-coding RNA, 200 nt
Filed under: soil metagenome
Description: partial contains internal transcribed spacer 2 and large subunit ribosomal RNA
Source: RNAcentral